RNAcentral lists this ribosomal RNA (434 nucleotides) under uncultured bacterium. RNAcentral describes it as "partial 16S ribosomal RNA". It matches the Rfam family "Bacterial small subunit ribosomal RNA", at positions 29 to 508 of the family's 1533-position model. The record is from RNAcentral.
AACGAACGCUGGCGGCAUGCCUAACACAUGCAAGUCGAACGAGACCUUCGGGUCUAGUGGCGCACGGGUGCGUAACGCGUGGGAACCUGCCCUUAGGUUCGGAAUAACUCCCCGAAAGGGGUGCUAAUACCGGAUAAUGUCUUCGGACCAAAGAUUUAUCGCCUUUGGAUGGGCCCGCGUUGGAUUAGCUAGUUGGUAGGGUAAAAGCCUACCAAGGCGACGAUCCAUAGCUGGUCUGAGAGGAUGAUCAGCCACACUGGGACUGAGACACGGCCCAGACUCCUACGGGAGGCAGCAGUGGGGAAUAUUGGACAAUGGGCGAAAGCCUGAUCCAGCAAUGCCGCGUGAGGGAUGAAGGCCUUAGGGGUGUAAAGCUCUUUUACCCGGGAUGAUAAUGACAGUACCGGGAGAAUAAGCUCCGGCUAACUCCGUGC